GGGAAUUAGCUCAGUUGGCUAGAGCACCGGCUUUGCAAGCCGGGUGUCAGGGGUUCAAAUCCCCUAUUCUCC
RNAcentral lists this transfer RNA (72 nucleotides) under uncultured Treponema sp. It matches the Rfam family "tRNA". Rfam says of the family: Transfer RNA (tRNA) molecules are approximately 80 nucleotides in length. Their secondary structure includes four short double-helical elements and three loops (D, anti-codon, and T loops). Further hydrogen bonds mediate the characteristic L-shaped molecular structure. tRNAs have two regions of fundamental functional importance: the anti-codon, which is responsible for specific mRNA codon recognition, and the 3' end, to which the tRNAs corresponding amino acid is attached (by aminoacyl-tRNA synthetases). tRNAs cope with the degeneracy of the genetic code in two manners: having more than one tRNA (with a specific anti-codon) for a particular amino acid; and 'wobble' base-pairing, i.e. permitting non-standard base-pairing at the 3rd anti-codon position. Lineage: Bacteria; Pseudomonadati; Spirochaetota; Spirochaetia; Treponematales; Treponemataceae. The record is from RNAcentral.